Molecule: ribosomal RNA, 253 nt
Filed under: uncultured bacterium
Lineage: Bacteria
Description: partial 16S ribosomal RNA
Rfam family: Bacterial small subunit ribosomal RNA
Source: RNAcentral
UACAGAGGUCUCAAGCGUUGUUCGGAUUCAUUGGGCGUAAAGGGUGCGUAGGUGGCGCCGUAAGUCGGGUGUGAAAUUUCGGAGCUUAACUCCGAAACUGCAUUCGAUACUGCGGUGCUUGAGGACUGGAGAGGAGACUGGAAUUCAUGGUGUAGCAGUGAAAUGCGUAGAGAUCAUGAGGAAGACCAGUGGCGAAGGCGGCGACCUGGACAGAUACUGACACUAAACUACGAAAGCGUGGGGAGCAAACAGG